ACUCAAAUGAAUAGACGGGGGCCCGCACAAGCGGUGGAGCAUGUGGUUCAAUUCGACGCAACGCGAAGAACCUUACCUGGGCUCGAACGGCUGGUUAACGGCGUUGGAAACAGCGCUACUCCGCAAGGAGGUCCAGUCGAGGUGCUGCAUGGCUGUCGUCAGCUCGUGUCGUGAGAUGUUGGGUUAAGUCCCGCAACGAGCGCAACCCUUGUCCUGUGUUGCCAUACCGUAAGGUGGAACUCGCAGGAGACCGCCAGCGAUAAGCUGGAGGAAGGUGGGGAUGACGUCAAGUCCUCAUGGCCUUUAUGUCCAGGGCUACACACGUGCUACAAUGGCCGGUACAAAGCGCAGCUAAGUCGCAAGACGGAGCCAAUCGCAGAAAACCGGUCUCAGUUCGGAUUGCAGGCUGCAACUCGCCUGCAUGAAGCUGGAAUCGCUAGUAAUGGCGGAUCAGAACGCCGCCGUGAAUACGUUCCCGGGCCUUGCACACACCGCCCGU
This 499-nucleotide ribosomal RNA is filed under the name uncultured bacterium. RNAcentral describes it as "partial 16S ribosomal RNA". It matches the Rfam family "Bacterial small subunit ribosomal RNA", at positions 899 to 1397 of the family's 1533-position model. The record is from RNAcentral.